Molecule: long non-coding RNA, 694 nt
Organism: Neofelis nebulosa (Clouded leopard)
Lineage: Eukaryota; Metazoa; Chordata; Mammalia; Carnivora; Felidae
Exons: 2
Source: RefSeq, a predicted model, not a curated record
UUUUGAGACAGAGAGAGAGCAUGAACAGGGGAGGGUCAGAGAGAGAGGGAGACACAGAAUCCGAAGCAGGCUCCAGGCUCUGAGCUGUCAGCACAGAGCCCGACGCGGGGCUCGAACUCAUGGACCGCGAGAUCGUGACUUGAGCCGAAGUCGGCCGCUUAACCGACUGAGCCACGCAGGCACCCCUCUCAUGUAUUUCUAAACACAUUUAGUGUUGGGUUACCUGGUCACAGACUUUCGCCGAUUGCCAGCCCAGCAUCUGUUCUCCCCUUGUUUUCGACUAAAGAAGCCUAACUUUGUCAGGCAGCAAUGUAGGCGCUAGAAAAAAUCUUUCCCGGCCUCUUUCGCGGUUAGAAGCGACUACGUGAUACGAUUUCUGACCACUGAGAUAUACGACGAUGUCUGCUGGGGAUUUCUGAUCCGUUUUUGCUCACCCCUUUUUUCUUCCCGUUGCCUCGAGAGAAGACCUGAUGGCUGGCGCAGUGGCUUCUUGCACAACGGGGGCUCUUCUUCCCUCCUAAGGCGGCCUGUGAUGGAAGCAGUGAGUCUCAGGAUCCAGAGAGACCAAGCAGCGUUCUUAAGAUUCCAUUGAGGACCCGAGGCACUGAUGGGCGUCUAGUCCUGCUGCCCUGAACCAUCUCUUUCAUGGAAAAAAAAACCAAUUCACGUCAAUGAAUCAACCGUGUAACCCUUA